AACGAACGCUGGCGGCGCGCUUAACACAUGCAAGUCGAACGAGAAGGCGUAGCAAUACGCUUGUACAGUGGCGAACGGGUGAGGAAUACAUGGGUAACCUACCCUCGAGUGGGGGAUAACCCGCCGAAGGCGGGCUAAUACCGCGUACGCUUCCGAUCUUGCGGGAUCGGAAGGAAAGCUGUCCCUUGGGGAUGGCGCUCAAGGAUGGGCUCAUGUCCUAUCAGCUUGUUGGAGGGUAACGGCCUACCAAGGCAUCGACGGGUAGGCUGGUCUGAGAGGACGGAUCAGCCACACUGGCACUGCGACACGGGCCAGACUCCUACGGGAGGCAGCAGUGAGGAAUAUUGCGCAAUGGGCGAAAGCCUGACGCAGCGACGCCGCGUGGGGGAG
This 390-nucleotide ribosomal RNA is filed under the name uncultured bacterium. Its description in RNAcentral is "bacterial SSU rRNA". It matches the Rfam family "Bacterial small subunit ribosomal RNA", at positions 29 to 409 of the family's 1533-position model. The record is from RNAcentral.